UUAAGGGCGCACGGUGGAUGCCUUGGCACUAGAAGCCGAUGAAGGACGUUACUAACGACGAUAUGCUUUGGGGAGCUGUAAGUAAGCUUUGAUCCAGAGAUUUCCGAAUGGGGAAACCCAGCAUGAGUUAUGUCAUGUUAUCGAUAUGUGAAUACAUAGCAUAUCAGAAGGCACACCCGGAGAACUGAAACAUCUUAGUACCCGGAGGAAGAGAAAGAAAAUUCGAUUCCCUUAGUAGCGGCGAGCGAAACGGGAAGAGCCCAAACCAACAAGCUUGCUUGUUGGGGUUGUAGGACACUCUAUACGGAGUUACAAAGGACGACAUUAGACGAAUCAUCUGGAAAGAUGAAUCAAAGAAGGUAAUAAUCCUGUAGUCGAAAAUGUUGUCUCUCUUGAGUGGAUCCUGAGUACGACGGAGCACGUGAAAUUCCGUCGGAAUCUGGGAGGACCAUCUCCUAAGGCUAAAUACUCUCUAGUGACCGAUAGUGAACCAGUACCGUGAGGGAAAGGUGAAAAGCACCCCGGAAGGGGAGUGAAAUAGAACCUGAAACCGUGUGCUUACAAGUAGUCAGAGCCCGUUAAUGGGUGAUGGCGUGCCUUUUGUAGAAUGAACCGGCGAGUUACGAUUUGAUGCAAGGUUAAGCAGUAAAUGUGGAGCCGUAGCGAAAGCGAGUCUGAAUAGGGCGUUUAGUAUUUGGUCGUAGACCCGAAACCAGGUGAUCUACCCUUGGUCAGGUUGAAGUUCAGGUAACACUGAAUGGAGGACCGAACCGACUUACGUUGAAAAGUGAGCGGAUGAACUGAGGGUAGCGGAGAAAUUCCAAUCGAACCUGGAGAUAGCUGGUUCUCUCCGAAAUAGCUUUAGGGCUAGCCUCAAGUGAUGAUUAUUGGAGGUAGAGCACUGUUUGGACGAGGGGCCCCUCUCGGGUUACCGAAUUCAGACAAACUCCGAAUGCCAAUUAAUUUAACUUGGGAGUCAGAACAUGGGUGAUAAGGUCCGUGUUCGAAAGGGAAACAGCCCAGACCACCAGCUAAGGUCCCAAAAUAUAUGUUAAGUGGAAAAGGAUGUGGCGUUGCCCAGACAACUAGGAUGUUGGCUUAGAAGCAGCCAUCAUUUAAAGAGUGCGUAAUAGCUCACUAGUCGAGUGACACUGCGCCGAAAAUGUACCGGGGCUAAACAUAUUACCGAAGCUGUGGAUUGUCCUUUGGACAAUGGUAGGAGAGCGUUCUAAGGGCGUUGAAGCAUGAUCGUAAGGACAUGUGGAGCGCUUAGAAGUGAGAAUGCCGGUGUGAGUAGCGAAAGACGGGUGAGAAUCCCGUCCACCGAUUGACUAAGGUUUCCAGAGGAAGGCUCGUCCGCUCUGGGUUAGUCGGGUCCUAAGCUGAGGCCGACAGGCGUAGGCGAUGGAUAACAGGUUGAUAUUCCUGUACCACCUAUAAUCGUUUUAAUCGAUGGGGGGACGCAGUAGGAUAGGCGAAGCGUGCGAUUGGAUUGCACGUCUAAGCAGUAAGGCUGAGUAUUAGGCAAAUCCGGUACUCGUUAAGGCUGAGCUGUGAUGGGGAGAAGACAUUGUGUCUUCGAGUCGUUGAUUUCACACUGCCGAGAAAAGCCUCUAGAUAGAAAAUAGGUGCCCG
This 1635-nucleotide ribosomal RNA is filed under the name Staphylococcus aureus VET1871R. RNAcentral describes it as "bacterial LSU rRNA". It matches the Rfam family "Bacterial large subunit ribosomal RNA", at positions 11 to 1644 of the family's 2925-position model. The record is from RNAcentral. Lineage: Bacteria; Bacillati; Bacillota; Bacilli; Caryophanales; Staphylococcaceae.